AGCAGCCGCGGUAAUUCCAGCUCCAAUAGCGUAUAUUAAAGUUGUUGCAGUUAAAAAGCUCGUAGUUGAAUUUCGGGGUUUAUCCGUCGGUCGGGCUUUUGGGUCUGUACUGGCGUGAUGGAUUCCUACCUUCUGAAUAACCGGCAUGUCAUUAAUUUGGUGCGCCGGGGAAGCAGGACUGUUACCUUAAAAAAAUUAGAGUGCUUAAAGCAGGCUUAUGCCUGAAUACAUUAGCAUGAAAUAAUGAAAUAGGACGGCAUGGUUCUAUUUUGUUGGUUUCUAGGAUCACCGUAAUGAUUAAUAGGGAUAGUUGGGGGCAUUAGUAUUCAAUUGUCAGAGGUGAAAUUCUUGGAUUUAUUGAAGACUAACUUCUGCGAAAGCAUUUGCCAAGGAUGUUUUCAUUAAUCAAGAACGAAAGUUAGGGGAUCGAAGACGAUCAGAUACCGUCGUAGUCUUAACCAUAAACUAUGCCAACUAGGGAUCGGACGAUGUUAAUUUUUUAAUGACUCGUUCGGCGCCUUACG
Molecule: ribosomal RNA, 524 nt
Filed under: uncultured Acaulospora
Lineage: Eukaryota; Fungi; Glomeromycota; Glomeromycetes; Diversisporales; Acaulosporaceae
Description: SSU rRNA
Rfam family: Eukaryotic small subunit ribosomal RNA
Source: RNAcentral